Molecule: ribosomal RNA, 116 nt
Filed under: Neogale vison (American mink)
Lineage: Eukaryota; Metazoa; Chordata; Mammalia; Carnivora; Mustelidae
Source: RNAcentral
GUCUACGGCUGUACCAUUGUGAACAUGCCUGAUCUCCUUGGAUCUCAAAAGCUAAGCGGGGUCGGGCCUGGUUAGUACUUGGAUGGGAGAAGUCCUGAAUUAGGUGAUCCUUGAAA